CACUAGGCAAUGACACUUAAAGAAGUGCAGGGUUCUUGAAGUACAUGAAUCGAAAAAGUAUAAAACAAACCAGCAUUUGAUCUUUUGUCAACAUCGAUUAAUAGAAAACAGAAACAGUAUUUUACUGUGUUGAAGCACUGCGUUAAAAACGCAUUCACAUUCACAGAAACAAAUUUAUUCUGCUCAGGACAACAAGCAAACUGCAGGCAAAGGACCCAUGAGACUAGUCUCAACUACACACUGCGGCAGGUGAAAAAUGAUGCAUCUUGAAGAGUUCAAGUUUCAUGACUUCACUUGCGGAGGAGAGUCGCCCUGCAGAGCUGGAUCUGAUUUGAUGGCAUCUAAUGUCUUGAAGAACUCCUCAGGUAGUGCAACGGGCCGGUGCUGCGGAACAUGCUUGGGAAUAGGUGUGUCAUCUUCAAUCACCUCGCAUUCGUAGUCAUCAGGAACACCCCAGGGAUCCC
This 464-nucleotide long non-coding RNA is filed under the name Triticum aestivum (bread wheat). RNAcentral's name for it is "long non-coding RNA (TAES_LNC001309)". The record is from RNAcentral. Lineage: Eukaryota; Viridiplantae; Streptophyta; Magnoliopsida; Poales; Poaceae.